Long non-coding RNA from Salvia hispanica, 2103 nucleotides. RefSeq lists it as uncharacterized. The record is from RefSeq and is a predicted model, not a curated record. NCBI's taxonomy places the organism in Eukaryota, Viridiplantae, Streptophyta, Magnoliopsida, Lamiales, Lamiaceae.
CUCAGUUAUGGCUACGCAUAGCCUUCUCUUUUGAGCUAAAUGUUGGAUUCUGUUGCGGCGGCCUCUAGUUCGCUUGGUGCAGGUUCCUGCCUUGCAUCAACUGAAUCAGAGGCCGCGGUGAAUCAUUAUUUCCGGCUGGUUUAUAUUGGAAGGAUUCACGUUCACGUGGAUCUGCGAUUGGUAUGGUAGAUAUCAAUUUUGAAUUCGUUUUCUUCGCAAUUACUCCUAGUUUUCCCCCGGAUCUGAUUCGUUUGUUUUUCUGCAUUGAGCAUGAAUGAUAGAUCUCGUUUUCUGCAUUGACAGACACUCUAUGCAGAUUAAUUAGUGUAGUUUUCUAGCUAAGAAAAAAAAGUUUCUCAAUAGCAGAUUCUCCUUUCAGCUGCUUCUGAUGCGAAAAUACUGGAUAAUUUAUAGAACUUGAGUAUCAAUGAGAUCUUAUUUGUUGUUUUUUAUCAGGUAAAUUAUAUCCAGUAGUAGCUCUUCUUCGAAAUCCACUUGAAAAAUACUGCUUUCUGAGAAAACGUUAAUGCAUUUCCCAUGGUUGAUCCUAAUUCCUAAGCCUAGUGUGAUUUUAGAAUGAUAAUUAUGCUAAGAAGCAUGAGUUACAUUGGAUCCAUGGUAAAGAAUGAGUUUUGUAAUUUCGUUCACUACAUGUAUGUCUGUUUUGUGAAUCAUGUGAGUUGUUUCCCAUUAUGCUAUUCCUCAUGUUGCAGUGGAGUAUAUGUCUGAAAAGUUGAAAUGGAUUUGGGAAUUAUAUUGCCCAUGUGGCUGUGUUAUGGGUCAUAGCUUUGUCUUCUACUGACCUGAAAGAAUAUAAUGGCACGCUCUCUUUUAGUGCUUGGGAGACUAAUUGGCAUAUUUCUAAGAAACCUGUGUUCUUAGUUGUCGUUUUAAACUGCAUUUUACUGUAGUAGUACAUGCAUAGUUACUACUUCCACUUGGCAUAUAAAAUAGCCCAAUUGAAACAAUCAACAGCCUCAAGAUUUGUCUUUUAGAAUGAAGACAGAGUGCUCUAAUAUAAAUUCGGACUGUUAUUUUUGUCUGAAAUAAAUUCUCAAGCAUGUGCAUUUUUUGCUUUCACGAGUUCAGUAAGCUUCUCCUGCUUGUGAAGCUAUUCAUUAGUAUAUUCUUGCAGUAUCAUACCUGCCAUAUUUGAUUAUAUAGACUGAUGAAGGGCUCGUGUUGGUUAUAAACUCUGAUGUUUAGUUUUUGGCUUGGCGUUGAUGGCAUGAACUAAGGUGUGCAAAUUCUUGACUUCCUUAAACUGUUUCAGCCUUUCAAACUCUUGAGCCGAACUUGAGCCAUAAUCGUGCAAGUUCGUGCGAGUCAUUUUUUGGUUAUUUUUUCAAGUGAGUUAUGACUUGCAAAAAUAUAGUUCAACUUGUUAGUUUCCAUUUAUUAAUACUAAUUCUAGUUGCUGUGAACAAAUCUUGUGAUGAUCUUUGCCAUCUCCAAUGUCUCAUUGAUGAGAUCCACCGGCCUCCUUCAUGAAGGCUGAGCUCUAGUAUGUGAUUAUCUGCACUACGUUCUGGAUAGCAUCCAUGUUCUCAACACAAUCAGGUCUGUCAGACGAGCAAAGAUACACAGUACCUUUGGGGCAAUCCACUAAAAUAUUCACAAAAGUUCGGUCAUUGGCAUCUAUCCAUCCAUCGAGCAAGAUGCUACAGCCAGUGUCAGCCCACGAUCUUUUGAUCUCAUCCACACGUGAGGUCGUUUCCUUCAUCACAUCCCUGAAUAUCCACCCUUUUAACUCCUCGAUAGUAGGAGCUUGACACUGCAUCCUCAUUGAGUGAAAAAGAGAUCCUGCUCUGAAAGCUUGGUGAAAUCUACAGACGGGCAAUUUGGCUUCCUUGAUCAGUGAAAGACAAUAUUAACGUAUUAAAUUGUGUAAAUGAUUCGAGUCAAUUUAAGUUGGAUUGGAAUCCUGUGAGUUUGCGUGGUUUUGUUCGGUGUACUAUCUCAACUUUUGCUAGUUAGAGCCAAUAAGUAAUAAUGUUAUAAUGAAUGACUUCGGGCAAGUUUUAUGAUCUGGCUUGCAAAAUGCGCACGAUUUAUAAUAAAUUUAGACUCAUGCACAAAAAAACUUGUGCGGUUUCGCUCCAA